GUUGCUGAGAUGUGAGAGGAGUUGCAGGCUUAGGUGGAUAAACUAUCUCAGGCCUAAUAUGAAGAGAGGAAACUUUACUGAUAAAGAAGAUGAACUCAUCAUCAACCUCCACAGCUUCUUUGGAAACAAGAUUUAGAGCAGCUGCUGAAUUUCAUUGGUGUAAAGAGUUUAGGGCCACGCCAUGUAUUGGCUAAUUUGAAGGAGCUUCUAAGGAUCAUUCUAUCUCCAGGAUUUAUUGAUACAUAAUCUGACAUCCUGACUGUAAGUUAGAAACCUUUUUGUGUAAAUGGAUCAUCUGGUUUCAUAUACAGGUGCAAAUUUUCAAUGGAGCACCUUGCCAUGAAGGCUUGUUAGUUACCACAUUUUAAAAAAAUGCCAAUUAUUUGUAACUUGAUUUCUUUUCUUGAAGAAUAUAUAUUUUUUUA
Molecule: long non-coding RNA, 425 nt
Organism: Vitis riparia (riverbank grape)
Lineage: Eukaryota; Viridiplantae; Streptophyta; Magnoliopsida; Vitales; Vitaceae
Exons: 2
Source: RefSeq, a predicted model, not a curated record